RNAcentral lists this ribosomal RNA (2568 nucleotides) under Phlyctis boliviensis. Its description in RNAcentral is "LSU rRNA". It matches the Rfam family "Bacterial large subunit ribosomal RNA", at positions 181 to 2801 of the family's 2925-position model. The record is from RNAcentral. Lineage: Eukaryota; Fungi; Ascomycota; Lecanoromycetes; Phlyctidaceae.
AAACGAAGUGAAUUGAAAUAUCUUAUUAGCUUCAGGAAAAUAAAUCAAAAGAGAUUCUGUGACUAGUGUGAAUGAAAACGGAAUGGCCUAAAAAUUAAAAAGUAAAACGGAGUAAAAACCUGUUUGAAUAAAGGGGAACCUUCCUCUAAGGCUAAAUAUGAUAUAUGAGCAAUAGAGUAAAGUACCGUGAGGGAAAAGAAGAAAUAGUAGUUUUAUAAGCAGCUCGAAUAAAAAAUAAAAAAAAAAAUAAGAGCGUACCUUUUGUAUAAUGGGUCAGCAAGUUAAUACUAGAUGCGAGCUAUAAGCAAAGAUAAACCAGUUAUAAUAUAAUAACAAGUAUCUAAGAUUAGACCCGAAGCCUAGUGAUCUUACCAUGAUCAGGGUUAUAAAAGCCCGAACGGUUUAUCGUUGUAAAGAUAUCCGAAGAAUCGUGGUAAGUUAGUGAAAGACAAUACUGACUAGGAUAGCUGGUUUUCUGCGAAACCUAUAUAAGUAGGCAAUUUAAUUAACAUCAAGGCAGGUACAGCGAUGUAAUCUUAAUAUACUAUUUAAUAAAUUUUAUAUUAUUGCGGGGGCCUGAGAAUCCUACAAUUAAGUAUUUGCACUCGGAAGGGCUUUGAUGAAUAUUGGAUUGUCAGACAUAGUACGAUAAGGUUGUAUGUCUAAAGGGAAACAGCCCAGAACAAGAGUUAAUAAGGUUCCUAAAUUAUUGUUAAGUGAAAUUAAGGUAGUGUUUAUCUUAUUCGACCAGGAAGUGGGCUUAGUAGCGGCCAUCUUUUAAAGACCUCGUAAAAGAGCACUGAUUUAAUUAUUGAUUUAAUGUAGAUAAGGGCACCGAAGAUUUAACGGAUCUAAACAAUAUACCGAUACCUUGUCCAUAUAUAUAAUUAUAUAUGGGGUAGCAGAACAUAGGGCAAAUCUAAGAUUUUUUCUUUUUAAGAAUUUAAAACAGAUAACCCUAGAGAUAAUGCUGACAUGAGUAACGAUAAAGGGUAUUAUACCCUCGCCUAAAGCUUAUGGUAUUCUUAAUGUCACGGCCUCUAAGUUUAUAUCUUUUGUAUCGAUUAAACACAAUGUAUUUAUUUAAAUAAACUAAACAGAUGAUAAGUAAAUAUAACGGUUGUGUCUAUAGAGAUCCGCGUUUUUUAAUUUACAAAAAACUAAGUUAGAUGAGUUAUAAAUUAACGCAGGAGGUGCAUUAGCCUAAAGGAACAAAACGAUGAGAUAAUCAAAACCUAAUAGUAAAAAACCUUUUUUAAAGUAUUAAUUUUUAAUAUAAAAUUAGUGUAAAAGGUUCUGGAAAAACAUAGGAUUAAAUAUCUGAAACAUGAAUAUAUUGAUACCGUACCUAGAAACUACCCCUAGUAAGUUAGUAGAAAAUACGAAGGCGUUUGAGUGAACAAUCAUAAAGGAACUCGGCAAAUUAGCUCAGUAACUUCGGGAGAAGGAGCGCCACCUAUCUUUAUUAAUAUAAAGUAAAAGGGAGGAGGCACAUAAUGGUGUUGUACGACUGUUUAAUUAAAACAAAGCACUCUGCGAAGAAAAUAACUCGAUGUACUGAGUGUGAGCUCUGCCAAAUGCCGGCAGGAUAUAGUAUUUUGCUUAAUUGACUAAUAUAGAUUAGGAUUUGAUAGAAUCCCCGGUCAAUGGCGGUCUUACCUAUGAGGAUCCUAAGGUAGCGGAAUACCCUGGCCGUUAAAUGCGGUCUUGCAUGAAUGAUUUAACGAUACAACAACUGUCUCUAUGAUUGGCUCAGUGAAAUUGGAAUAACUGUGAAGAUACAGUUUACCUCUAGAUAGACGAGAAGACCCUAUGCAGCUUUACUGUUACUAGUUAUUGGAUAUAAUAUAGCGAGUUUUAGAGAAUAAGGUAAUUUAAAUAAUACAAUUGAAACACCUUUACUUCACUUAUUAUAUUCGGCUAUAUAUGACAUUUAUGUCUUUAGCACAUACCUUUUUAGGAACAAUUGCUGGUUGGCGGUUUAUGCGGGGCACAGAUCUCAGAAAAAGUAACUAAAGUUUAAUGGCUUAAUCUUGCUUUACUGUUUAACUUACACGUUAUUCAGUCGCGUAAGCGGGGCAUAUGAUCACAAGAUGCGGAAAGGAAAGGUCUUGGAUUUUUGAAAAAGCUACGCUAGGGAUUAAAUGUUAGUCCUCGAACAGGCUUAUUGCGCAAGAGAGUUCAAAUUGAGUGCGCAGUUUGGCACCUCGAUGUCGGCUUAGCUUAUCCACGUGAAUGCACAAAUCAUGAAGGGUUGGACUGUUCGUCCAUUAAAAAGCUACACGAGCUGGGUUAAAUACGUCGUGAGACAGUAUGGUUUCUAUCUUCUAGAGGAAAUCAGAGUAAAAUAAGGAUAGCCCCUUCGUACGAAAGGAUUUGGGUAUGUUAACCUCUGGUUUACCUGUUGUUUGUGUCUUAGUAUUAAUGCCAUAUAUUAUAUGGUAAUCGUCAGAUAACGAUGAUGUGAUCUAACUAAACACUAUAGGUUUGUUUUAGCACAGGCACGGCAGGAAGGCUAAGUUAGCUAAAGAUAAAUGCUGAAUGCAUAUAGGUAUGAAACUUACCUUA